This 31-nucleotide non-coding RNA is filed under the name Homo sapiens (human). Lineage: Eukaryota; Metazoa; Chordata; Mammalia; Primates; Hominidae. The record is from RNAcentral.
UGUGAUCAUAUCUUACUGCAAUCUUGAGCCU